Molecule: ribosomal RNA, 253 nt
Filed under: uncultured bacterium
Lineage: Bacteria
Description: partial 16S ribosomal RNA
Rfam family: Bacterial small subunit ribosomal RNA
Source: RNAcentral
CACGUAGGAGGCGAGCGUUGUCCGGAAUCAUUGGGCGUAAAGAGCGCGCAGGCGGCUUGGCAAGUCGGGUGUGAAAUCCCGGGGCUCAACCCCGUGACUGCAUCCGAUACCGUCAGGCUAGAGGUAGGUAGGGGAGAUCGGAAUUCCUGGUGUAGCGGUGAAAUGCGCAGAUAUCAGGAGGAACACCGGUGGCGAAGGCGGAUCUCUGGGCCUUACCUGACGCUCAGGCGCGAAAGCUAGGGGAGCGAACAGG